GCUGAGGCGCGCGCGGGUCCUCGGUUCUCUCCUAGAGUUUCCGUCGCCUCAUGCUCCUUAAUAGACUGACACAAAUUGGGACUGGACUGUGAGCACCUGAGGGCUGUCCUGGGCUUGGAGGGGAGUGGCGCAAAGGACUUUUCUUACAAGCUGAGAUGUAUGUCUUCAAUUCCACGUCCCUGAAGAAACUCCGGAGAGAGGGAAGAAGGAAGGAGGAGAAAAAAAACCUUCCUGUCACGUUGUUUUUUCCUUGCUGGGCUACUGUUGCGUUCCAGUAGGAGUCUUGCUGAACACCUGGCCUGAGCAAUUUAAGAAGGAUUCCUCAGGGCUUUGAAAAAGCCACAAACGAUCCUCACAGUGACACCACCCAGCGAGCUGGCAGACAUU
This is a long non-coding RNA of Lontra canadensis (Northern American river otter), 387 nucleotides long. RefSeq lists it as uncharacterized. The transcript has 3 exons. The record is from RefSeq and is a predicted model, not a curated record. NCBI's taxonomy places the organism in Eukaryota, Metazoa, Chordata, Mammalia, Carnivora, Mustelidae.